RNAcentral lists this ribosomal RNA (119 nucleotides) under Tropilaelaps mercedesae. Lineage: Eukaryota; Metazoa; Arthropoda; Arachnida; Mesostigmata; Laelapidae. The record is from RNAcentral.
GCCAUCGGCCAUACCACGAUGAAUACGCCGGUUCUCGUCCGAUCACCAGGGCUAAACAAUGUUGGGCCCGGGUAGUGUUCGGAAGGGAAGCCGCCUGGGAACAUUGGAUGUUUAUGGUA